Phragmites australis (common reed) is the source of this 954-nucleotide long non-coding RNA. RefSeq lists it as uncharacterized. The transcript is spliced from 3 exons. Lineage: Eukaryota; Viridiplantae; Streptophyta; Magnoliopsida; Poales; Poaceae. The record is from RefSeq and is a predicted model, not a curated record.
UCCCAACCGGCUUGAAAUGUUGGCUGCUGAUUUCUCGUGAUUCUUCCAGAUACUUUCCCAAAUUUUCUCUCCUGCCUUCUAUCCCCACCCUGGAAUAUCGGAUUCGGGAGUCUUCGGCGGUUGUGUUCUUGAGUUCGUGUUUCCUUUCCUCUUCUCGCCGCAUCUGACUGCAUACAUGCCCAUUUCCGAUUUCUUUGCCGGAUAGAAGGAUGCCUCGCUUAUUUUUUCUCGGAGCAUGAAGGGUCGAAGUCGCAAGACCCCAUCCCCCUGGAUUUAUCGGAUCUGAGAGCCCAAGUCCCCAUCUUCGGUGGCAGAGAUCCGGUUCCUGAGAGAAGGUUUCUCUGAUUUCGCAAAUUUUGUUAUUUCUGCUUGCUAGAUGUUUCUCUGAUUUCGCAAAUUUUGUUAGUUCUGCUUGCUUCUCUGAUUUUGUAGUUUGAUCUGUUCUGAAAAUCGGUGUUUGAGAUGCUGAUUUCAUUUUCGUGUCUUUGAAAAACAAUUGUGUGCAGGAGAUGAAGGUAGGAAAGGGGAAUAAGAUGUUGUGUGGGCUUGUGUAGUUCCAGGAGCUGCCGGUUUAUUUCUGGAAAUUUAUUCUCAUCCACAACAGCUGCGAGUGACACCUCCCUCAGGAGAUGAAGCUAGGAAAUGGGAAGGAGAUGCUGUGUGGGCUUGUCUAGUUCCAGGAGCUGCCGGUUUAUUUCUUGAAUUUUAUUCUCAGCCACAACAGCUUCGAGUGACACCCCCCUCAGAUGGGUUCUCCCCGACAGUUGAAAGGGAGGGUCAAGUCUUUCUCGGUAGAGACCACUCAAGAGGCAUGGCGAUUCGACGUGACCUCAAUCACAGGUGUUGCACCUACAACGGUGCCUGUCCAAGGCAAUGAACAGCCACAUAUGGAUUGUAGACCAGCGCCACGCAAAUCUGGUACAGGUACUUCCGUGCCUGUAGAUGUUCCGAAUA